Molecule: small nucleolar RNA, 131 nt
Organism: Dromaius novaehollandiae (emu)
Lineage: Eukaryota; Metazoa; Chordata; Aves; Casuariiformes; Dromaiidae
Source: Ensembl
CAAGCAGGCUGCAAUUGCAGUGCUUCAUUCUGUGGGAGCACUGCCAUUUUCCUGCUGAGAGCAACUCUGUUAACGUCGUCUUUGGUUCUACCUGUAUGUUGGUGAAACCAUUGUCCUUAACAUGUACAAGU